AUUGAACGCUGGCGGCAUGCUUUACACAUGCAAGUCGAACGGUAACAGCACUUCGGUGGCUGACGAGUGGCGAACGGGUGAGUAAUACAUCGGAACGUGCCUAGUAGUGGGGGAUAACUACUCGAAAGAGUAGCUAAUACCGCAUGAGAUCUAAGGAUGAAAGCAGGGGACCUUCGGGCCUUGCGCUACUAGAGCGGCUGAUGGCAGAUUAGGUAGUUGGUGGGAUAAAAGCUUACCAAGCCGACGAUCUGUAGCUGGUCUGAGAGGACGACCAGCCACACUGGGACUGAGACACGGCCCAGACUCCUACGGGAGGCAGCAGUGGGGAAUUUUGGGCAAUGGGCGCAAGCCUGAUCCAGCAAUGCCGCGUGCAGGAUGAAGGCCUUCGGGUUGUAAACUGCUUUUGUACGGAACGAAAAGCCCUCUUCUAAUACAGGAGGGUCAUGACGGUACCGUAAGAAUAAGCACCGGCUAACUACGUG
This 482-nucleotide ribosomal RNA is filed under the name uncultured bacterium. Its description in RNAcentral is "partial 16S ribosomal RNA". It matches the Rfam family "Bacterial small subunit ribosomal RNA", at positions 30 to 507 of the family's 1533-position model. The record is from RNAcentral.